GUAGUCCACGCCGUAAACGAUGAGUGUUAGGUGUCUGGAGUCAAAUCUGGGUGCCGCAGCAAACGCAUUAAACACUCCGCCUGGGGAGUACGCACGCAAGUGUGAAACUCAAAGGAAUUGACGGGGACCCGCACAAGCAGCGGAGCAUGUGGUUUAAUUCGACGCAACGCGAAGAACCUUACCAAGUCUUGACAUAUUUUAGAAGCAAUUAGAGAUAAUUGCCUAUAUCUUCGGAUAACUAAAAUACAGGUGGUGCAUGGUUGUCGUCAGCUCGUGUCGUGAGAUGUUGGGUUAAGUCCCAUAACGAGCGCAACCCCUAUUGCUAGUUACCAUCAUUAAGUUGGGGACUCUAGUAAUACUGCCGGUGACAAACCGGA
Molecule: ribosomal RNA, 377 nt
Filed under: uncultured bacterium
Lineage: Bacteria
Description: bacterial SSU rRNA
Rfam family: Bacterial small subunit ribosomal RNA
Source: RNAcentral